GCCGGGGCUGGUAGUCUGCACCUGUAGUCCUAGCUACUGGGGAGGCUGAGGAGAAAGGAUCGCUUGAUCCCAGGGAGUUCUGGGCUGUAGUGCACUGUGUCAAUAGAUGGGAUGUCCGCGCUUAAGUUCAGGAGGGAGGGGCCCCCCAGGUUGCCUAAGGAGGGAUGCACUGGCCCAGAUCGGAAACGGAGCAUGUCAAAACUCCUCUGCUGAUCGGUAAUGGGAUCAUGCCUGUGAACAGCCACUGCGCUCCAGCCUGGGCAACAUAGGGAGACCCUGUCUCU
Molecule: signal recognition particle RNA, 284 nt
Filed under: Aotus nancymaae (Ma's night monkey)
Lineage: Eukaryota; Metazoa; Chordata; Mammalia; Primates; Aotidae
Description: Metazoan signal recognition particle RNA (ENSANAG00000011155.1)
Rfam family: Metazoan signal recognition particle RNA
About the family: The signal recognition particle (SRP) is a universally conserved ribonucleoprotein. It is involved in the co-translational targeting of proteins to membranes.
Source: RNAcentral